AAAGGAUCGGGAUCCUCAAAGCUAGAGCCCGCAGCGAUACUGACGUGCAAAUCGUUCGUCUGACUUGGGUAUAGGGGCGAAAGACUAAUCGAACCGUCUAGUAGCU
RNAcentral lists this non-coding RNA (106 nucleotides) under Helianthus annuus (common sunflower). Its description in RNAcentral is "Eukaryotic large subunit ribosomal RNA". It matches the Rfam family "Eukaryotic large subunit ribosomal RNA", at positions 848 to 952 of the family's 3401-position model. The record is from Rfam by way of RNAcentral. Lineage: Eukaryota; Viridiplantae; Streptophyta; Magnoliopsida; Asterales; Asteraceae.